ACGCCAAGGAUUCUCAACUUUAGUUGAACAAGUGGUGUCAGCUGCACUAUAUCAGCUAUCAGCAAUGACCGACCUCUCCUACCACCACCUUUCCCAGCCAUUCCCUCCUUUGCUUCCCAACCCUCACUUCGUCACCUCAGUCAGAUUCAAAGGAGGACCACAACAUGCGGGUAAGAGGAACUGAGGUGGGAAUUCAGAGAGAAGCUGCUUCUUGUGGAGAAGGGUAGAGAAGCGGAGAUUCUAGAAUGCUUUUUAAAAUAACAAGGUGGCGAUAGGGAGACAAGAAAGAAGUGUGUAAAAUUAACGUAAAACGAGCAUUUUGAUGGAGGGCAAUUUUUGGAAGAAAGUGAUAGAAUUGCUAUAAGCAAAAUGAAAGAAGAACAUUACAUCAUGCAGGUGAAACCCAAGAUAUGAACUAUUUGCGACCAUUCUCAUAUCAAAAACUCUCACUUUGCAAGAGAACAACAGAGCUUUUGACCUAUUAAAUGUAAACAAGCAGCCCCAACCUAAAGAAGUACAAGCAGAUAAACGCUAUGCAACAUAAACAAACCAACCGUAUGGAUCCCAAACUCAACAAGAAACAGAUUUCACAAUACAGACUUUUUAUCAACAGAAUUGAAAAGCCUACAAUAUAAUUGCUGGUAUGGAAUUUUAGAAGAUUAGCUUGCAGAAGCUGAAAUGGAUGAACCAGAUGUUGGUGCCCCGGCUAAUCCUGUCAUAUUCUUCAGUUUCUGAGAAGCUACCUCACUGGACGAUCCAGAUUCUGGCACAUCUCCAAUGUCCAAAGUGUCGGGAAGCUUUUCUGAAAACUCUGGAUAGAUCUUUAAGGAAGAAGCACAUUACUUAUAUCAGAUAUUAAAGUUGAGACAUCUAAACUAAUCAAAUGCAGUAUCGAUGUUCAAUACAUGUAAACUCAUGCUUUCUCAACAAUCAAUUGUU
Molecule: long non-coding RNA, 939 nt
Filed under: Olea europaea (common olive)
Lineage: Eukaryota; Viridiplantae; Streptophyta; Magnoliopsida; Lamiales; Oleaceae
Description: long non-coding RNA (OEUR_LNC013904)
Source: RNAcentral